Molecule: ribosomal RNA, 492 nt
Filed under: uncultured bacterium
Lineage: Bacteria
Description: partial 16S ribosomal RNA
Rfam family: Bacterial small subunit ribosomal RNA
Source: RNAcentral
AGUGAACGCUGGCGGUAGGCCUAACACAUACAAGUCGAACGGCAGCACAGUAAGAGCUUGCUCUUACGGGUGGCGAGUGGCGGACGGGUGAGGAAUACAUCGGAAUCUACUUUUUCGUGGGGGAUAACGUAGGGAAACUUACGCUAAUACCGCAUACGACCUACGGGUGAAAGCAGGGGAUCUUCGGACCUUGCGCGAUUGAAUGAGCCGAUGUCGGAUUAGCUAGUUGGCGGGGUAAAGGCCCACCAAGGCGACGAUCCGUAGCUGGUCUGAGGGGAUGAUCAGCCACACUGGAACUGAGACACGGUCCAGACUCCUACGGGAGGCAGCAGUGGGGAAUAUUGGACAAAGGGCGCAAGCCUGAUCCAGCCAUACCGCGUGGGUGAAGAAGGCCUUCGGGUUGUAAAGCCCUUUUGUUGGGAAAGAAAAGCAGCAGGUUAAUACCCCGCUGUUCUGACGGUACCCAAAGAAUAAGCACCGGCUAACUUCGUG